AGUGAACGCUGGCGGUAGGCCUAACACAUGCAAGUCGAACGGCAGCACAGUAAGAGCUUGCUCUUACGGGUGGCGAGUGGCGGACGGAUGAGGAAUACAUCGGAAUCUACUUUUUCGUGGGGGAUAACGUAGGGAAACUUACGCUAAUACCGCAUACGACCUACGGGUGAAAGCAGGGGAUCUUCGGACCUUGCGCGAUUGAAUGAGCCGAUGUCGGAUUAGCUAGUUGGCGGGGUAAAGGCCCACCAAGGCGACGAUCCGCAGCUGGUCUGAGAGGAUGAUCAGCCACACUGGAACUGAGACACGGUCCAGACUCCUACGGGAGGCAGCAGUGGGGAAUAUUGGACAAUGGGCGCAAGCCUGAUCCAGCCAUACCGCGUGGGUGAAGAAGGCCUUCGGGUUGUAAAGCCCUUUUGUUGGGAAAGAAAAGCAGCAGGUUAAUACCCCGCUGUUCUGACGGUACCCAAAGAAUAAGCACCGGCUAACUUCGUG
RNAcentral lists this ribosomal RNA (492 nucleotides) under uncultured bacterium. RNAcentral's name for it is "partial 16S ribosomal RNA". It matches the Rfam family "Bacterial small subunit ribosomal RNA", at positions 29 to 507 of the family's 1533-position model. The record is from RNAcentral.